This 254-nucleotide ribosomal RNA is filed under the name uncultured bacterium. Its description in RNAcentral is "partial 16S ribosomal RNA". It matches the Rfam family "Bacterial small subunit ribosomal RNA", at positions 524 to 776 of the family's 1533-position model. The record is from RNAcentral.
GACAGAGGAGCCAAGCGUUGUCCGGAUUGACUGGGCGUAAAGAGCUCGUAGGCGGUUCGGCAAGUCAGCUGUGAAAUCUCCACGCUCAACGUGGAGGGGUCAGCUGAUACUGCUGUGACUCGAGUCCGGUAGGGGAGUGUGGAAUUCCCGGUGUAGCGGUGAAAUGCGCAGAUAUCGGGAGGAACACCAGUAGCGAAGGCGGCACUCUGGGCCGGUACUGACGCUGAGGAGCGAAAGCGUGGGGAGCAAACAGG